AUCGUACGUACCGUAGUUUACGUUCAACGGAAGCACAUUGCACAACAGCUAGGCUGAAAUAAAAAUGGCUGGCAUACACCUAGAUGAAGAACAACCAUGGAAAAAAAACACCAAAAGUGAUGAAACGCCGGACAAAACAAGUAAGACAAGACCGACACUGUUACCAAUGUGGUGGGAGCGGUCACGUUGCGAAUAACGAAGAGUGUCCUGCGCAAGGUCAUGAACGUAGAAAGUGCCACCACAUGAACCACUUCACCACUUCUCGUUACGCACGUGUUACAGAGUCUGCAAAUUGUGUUGAAUCAAAGAAAAAAGAGAGUGAAGAUGAAGUCGGAGGGAGUUGACUUGACCACGACAACCAACGCAAGAGACAUAACAAGGAAACCAAGCGCUGCUCAGCCAUCGAGACAGAUUCAGCGGAGAAACAAAGCCAAGACUAAAAAGAAAGGACUCUCAGUAAAGGCACUCAGAAGUACGGAAGUGGUGGAAGAACCAUGCAUGGACGGACCGCGGAGAAAAGUGAGAAAUCCUCACCAGCCAAACAAGGAGGAAGAAGAUGGCAGGGGCAGCUGGACUCGUGUAGACACUACAAAUGGUUAUAUUAGUAGUAAAACUGGGUCUCUUGACGACCUUAAAAAACAUUUCGAUUCCAGCGUAGAUACAAAAUAUUCUAAUAAUGAUGCACUUGAUUUUAAUAUAGAUGAGUUUGAUCAUCGAUGUAAACUAUAUAUUCAUUUAAAACAAUUCUGUAAAAAAAUAUAUCAAUUGUCUGUUGAAAAAAAACUGUAUAGGCAGACAGCAUAUGCCCAUUUAAUUAUGAAAGGUAACAAAACUAAAACAAUAGGUCCAAAGCACCCGAAACAAAACAAACAUAGUGAGGACUUUAUAAUUGAUGAAAUGAGGAAGUAUGCCAAGGACAUAUCUAUAAUUUUACUUUUUACCACCAACAGUCCUUGUUUAGCGCGAGAAGGUCGUAAACCUUGUGCACGCAACUUAACAGACUUUUCAAAAAAGCAUCAGGUUCCAAUGAAAACUUUCUUCAUAAAACCUUAUUACUUUAUCAAAAACAUCGAUUACUUGAAUAAUCAACAUGUAGGAAAGCCUUCUUGGGAUCCUCACUAUGAGUAUAAUCUAGAAUACAAUCUUUCAGAAUUCAAAUAUAAAUGUAAAGAAAUUCCCGAAGAUCAAAUGGAAAAAGUCUGUAAUAUUAUAAGGAACAUUCUUUCGAAAUAUUCAGAGUUAGCACAGACGUAUAACAAGUGGAAACAAACAGGAACAGAAACCUCAGCAGAGCUCGAGUCGUCACUGAGAGAGGAAAUGAUAGGAGGAGCUAUCAGAUAAAGAUUUAGACACGGUUACAGAGAAGUAUAAACUCUGGUGGACUUUAACCAUAAAUGAAAGUCUCAACAAGCCUGUAGUUUUACCCACCUUAAAACACAUCGAGGACCUUUCACACCACAUGUGUGGGUUUUUCAGGAUCACAUACACUGAUAUAUCUGCUUGGAGUUAUUAAUCUUUAAACAUUAAUCUUUCACCCUGUUGUGAGUGGGAGGUUGGAGAGCCCCUUCCAUGGGGACCGGAAUUUUUAGUAUCCGGCUUGUCCAUGGUGGGGUGAAGAGACAAUUGUAACCCGCCAGGGGAGCAUGCGUCACCACUCCGCCUCCUGUAGCGGCCUCACUUCACAGCAAAUUGAGCAGAGUUAAAUUUUUGCUGUUGAUGAACAGAGAGUCAAUCUAUCUCUACGCGGAGUUGAUCUAACUCUGUAUGUUGUCUAAUCAAUUAGAUUUCACACUGUACCACGAAAGAGUUGGUGUCAAAAUGGAGCGUUAGAACAGAAAUCAACUCUGAUAGUGUCACCGCUAUGGUGGAACGCACCACUAGGAGUGACUGACCUAGAUCAGAUUGGUCGCUGAUUCGUCUGCCCUUUUGGCGGGAGUUAGGACCCUUCCCUAAACUCUAGUGGAAUGCACAGCAGGUGGAAGGAAGGAUAUUUUGUGAACGUCUUCUAGAAGACUUUUCGCAUUGUGUCGGUAACUAACAGUGUAUUAGAUAACCCAAUGCGUGCUAUUGUUAUAUACAGACGAAAUACGUAUUUAGACUUUGGUAUGAUGUUUAUAGACACUGCAAGGACGAGUAACAGUAAAGCUAGAGCCGACAAACUAACGUUACCUAAGGUUAACAUUAGCUAACGUUAUCAUUAGCUCCUAAUUAAGUGUCUGGCAAGCUAACGUUAGCUAGCGUUUGUUUUUUCUACUUUCAUAUGGGUUCUGAUUACUGGUCUAUAAGUGAUCUAAAUGGAAAUCUUUGAGUUUGCAAAGUUUGCCCAUGUCAAUUAUGUGACGUUACAUCAGUUAUGUUAACAGUCUUUUGAAUAAGAGAACAGCUAAAAUUAGCUAGCUAAUUAGCUAAAGUUAGACAAGAACCUGCCCCCACACAGCAAAAUCCUGUGUAGAUUUAACACCCAGAGUGCGUCCACAAUUGUCCUCGAGUCCACAAGAAAGAGGAGGAACCCAACAGAGUUAAUGGACGAGAAUGAAGCAAGACAGAUCAACCAGGAUUUCUCCAUGAUGUUUGGUGACGGAGUUUCUCAGAAGUUCCUGACAAAGUGGUCAACAUUCUUCAAGCCAAAAGUCAUUGCAGACUGCAAGACUCUUAAUAUGGGCGAGCUGCUGUCAGGAACUGAACCUGAAUCUGAGGACUACGACGGAUGGGACAGCGACAUGUCAUCAAUCCUUUUGCUGCUGCAUCUGCUCCCUCCAACCUCAAGAGGCCAGAAAAAAACAUCCAAGAUCAGUUCAGCUCAAGCAACCAGCCAUCUUGUGAGAUAUCUUAAGGAUAUUCGGAGGUGAACUGACCAUCUGACGAGACAACUGGACAUCCAGAUAAUCGAUGAGGAAAUUCUUCUUACUCACAGCUCCUAUGUGGACAUUUCCUAAGUUUAAUGCCUUAACCAAUCAGAAUCAUUAACACCACAGCGAAAAAUAAAUAAAUAAACAAACUGUCUCGUUUUCUUCUCUUCUCUGCUGGACAACUG
Long non-coding RNA from Ictalurus punctatus (channel catfish), 3034 nucleotides. Lineage: Eukaryota; Metazoa; Chordata; Actinopteri; Siluriformes; Ictaluridae. The record is from Ensembl.